RNAcentral lists this ribosomal RNA (169 nucleotides) under Mycena sp. RNAcentral describes it as "partial large subunit ribosomal RNA". It matches the Rfam family "Eukaryotic large subunit ribosomal RNA", at positions 99 to 261 of the family's 3401-position model. The record is from RNAcentral. Lineage: Eukaryota; Fungi; Basidiomycota; Agaricomycetes; Agaricales; Mycenaceae.
CGGGAAAAGCUCAAAUUUAAAAUCUGGCAGUCUUUGGCUGUCCGAGUUGUAAUCUGGAGAAGUGUUUUCCGCGCUGGACCGUGUACAAGUCUCUUGGAAUAGAGCGUCAUAGAGGGUGAGAAUCCCGUCUUUGACACGGACUACCAGUGCUUUGUGAUGCGCUUUCAAA